This 263-nucleotide unclassified non-coding RNA is filed under the name uncultured Sordariales. RNAcentral describes it as "sequence contains 5.8S rRNA gene, ITS2, 28S rRNA gene". The record is from RNAcentral. Lineage: Eukaryota; Fungi; Ascomycota; Sordariomycetes; Sordariales.
AACGCACAUUGCGCCCGCCAGCAUUCUGGCGGGCAUGCCUGUCCGAGCGUCAUUUCGACCCAUCGAGCCCCCGGGCUUGCGUUGGGGCUCUGCGGCUGCCGCAGGCCCUGAAACCCAGUGGCGGUCUCGCUAGCAGCACCGAGCGUAGUAGCAGUAUUUCGUUCUGGUGGCGCGGCGGGUUCCGGCCGUAAAAUUUACAGUGGUUUCCCACUGUAACUUUCUAGGUUGACCUCGGAUCAGGUAGGAAUACCCGCUGAACUUAA